UGGGUGCAGUGUAACCCAUUGUUUUCUUUAGUUAAAGGAAACUUACUUUGGCUGCAUUUAGGUGGUACACCCAUAGGUGCAGUGUAACCCAGUGUUUUCUUUAGUUCAAGGUAACUAACAUAGGCUGCAUUUUAGGUGGCACACCCAUGGGUGCAGUGUAACCCAGUGUUUUAUUUAGUUAAAGGUAACUACUGUAGGCUGCACUUUAGGUGGCACACCCAUAGGUGCAGUGUAACCCAGUGUUUUCUUUAGUAAACGGUAACUAACAUAGGCUGCACUUUAGGUGGCACAUCCAUGGGUGCAGUGUAACCUAGUGUUUAAUUUAGUUAAAGGUAAUAAACAUAGGCUGCACUUUAGGUGGCACACCCAUAGGUGCAGUGUAACCCAGUGUUUUCUUUAGUAAACGGUAACUAACAUAGGCUGCACUUUAGGUGGCGCACCCAUGGGUGCAGUAUAACCUAAUGUUUUAUUUAGUUAAAGGUAAUUCACAUAGGCUGCACGUUAGGUGGCAUACCCAUGGGUGCAGUGUAGCCCAGUGUUGUAUUUAGUAAAGGUAACUUCCUUUGGCCGCACUUUAGGUGGCACACCCAUGGGUGCUGUGUAACCCAGUGUCUUAUUUAGUUAAAGGUAAUUAACAUAGGCUGCACUUUAGGUGGCACAUCCAUGGGUGCAGUGUAACCUAGUGUUGCUAAUGAGUGACUGUAACCCAGUUCAGUUUUUUCUAGAAAGUGCUGUCCUUUAAGUAGCAUAAAGACAUGCAGACAUUCUCUUUAAGACAAUGAAAUUGGUGUGAGGGAACAUUUCUUCAAGUAGUAUGGUAGCACAAUGUUAUGUAAUUAAUGCGUUUUUCCAAAUGUUUAGUACUUUUCAGAAGCUUUAAGCAAGGGCACUUUUGUAAGAGAUUUUGGUACACAUACUGAGAUAAUUGAUUUGGAAGGCUCAGAUAUUAAAGCUGACAUGGAGCCUCGCCUUGUUCAGUGGCAAGGCAAGUUGGAUGAGCUACAUGUCUUUUUCAAGAAGUUGUGCAAGUCACGCAAAAAGUCACUAUUCACUAUCCACUAUUGUUUUUCUUGCGUUAGAUCUGCUUUUUUCGAUUCGAUUGCACCUUGACUAUUUUUGUACCGCUACUCCUCUUGCGUUAUAUUUAUUUAAAUGAGCAAUUUUUAAAAGACAGAAAAUGUCCUUCUUUCAAUAACGUGGCGGAAUAAAACAAUUACACAAAGAUGUUACUAUGAUACUUUUUGGUACGAAAUAUUUUAUUUUUGACCAGCACUGUUAUGCCUAAUUUUGUCCAUAAACGGACAAAAUUGCUCCGAUUUUGAGACGACAUUACAGCUUUUUGGCAGCGAUCGCCAAGAAACUGAAUGUGCCACGGAAUUACACCCAAUUAAGAAAGAUAUUUUCACCCUUCCAGCAGUCAUUAGAAAGCCGUUUUGUCCCCUCAAAAUCGGAUGUAGUUCACACGUUAAGGGUAAUAAACUGAUAAAAAAUGAUUUACAAUUAUCCUGUUGUCAAUAGGUUCUUAUUCACGUAAGCUGGGUCAUAAACUAUUUCUUGCGGCAGAAUCAUGGGGAAGAAGUUGUCCUUCAUUUUAAAAUCGCUGAAAUUGUAGUAACUAAACCUUGAAUGAAACUAUUGUAGGAAGAUUCAUUACUUGACGAGGGAAUUCCGCAUUUAAUUGCACGCGAAAAGCGAUACGCGAAGCGAUGAGUGCGAUAUCGGUUUUUAAGUGCAAUUUAACGCGGAAUUCACGAGCCAAGUAAUGGAUUUUCCUUGAAUCACAUAUUUGAAUAAAAACAAGAUAAAAAGAAAA
Molecule: non-coding RNA, 1813 nt
Organism: Pocillopora verrucosa
Lineage: Eukaryota; Metazoa; Cnidaria; Anthozoa; Scleractinia; Pocilloporidae
Source: RefSeq, a predicted model, not a curated record